This 460-nucleotide ribosomal RNA is filed under the name Leuconostoc mesenteroides. Its description in RNAcentral is "bacterial SSU rRNA". It matches the Rfam family "Bacterial small subunit ribosomal RNA", at positions 427 to 877 of the family's 1533-position model. The record is from RNAcentral. Lineage: Bacteria; Bacillati; Bacillota; Bacilli; Lactobacillales; Lactobacillaceae.
UAAACACCCUUGUUUGGGAAGAACAGGGGGAGGAGGACACGGUUUUUGUUUCCCGGUACCAUACCAGAAAGGGAGGGCUAAAUACGUGCCAGCAGCCGCGGAAACCCGUUUGUCCCGAGCGUUUUCCGGAUUUAUUGGGCGUAAAGCGAGCGCAGACGGUUUAUUAAGUUUGAUGUGAAAGCCCGGAGCUCAACUCCGGAAAUGCAAUUGAAACUGGUUAACUCGAGUGCAGUAGAGGUAAGUGGAAAUCCAUGUGUAGCGGUGGAAUGCGUAGAUAUAUGGAAGAACACCAGUGGCGAAGGCGGCUUACUGGACUGCAACUGACGUUGAGGCUCGAAAGUGUGGGUAGCAAACAGGAAAGAUACCCUGGUAGUCCACACCGUAAAUGAUGAACAAUAGGUGUAGGAGGUUUCCCGCACUAGCUAGUCCUCGAAGCUAACGCAGUAAGGUACCGCGUGGG